UCUAGUUCUCAGCACCUCCUCUACUGGCAAGCUUUUUAGCAACUUCUUCAUCAGUCAGCGGUAAAUAAUAGAUACGGGGAGCGGCUUUGGUCUUUCUGAAGAUGUCAUCCAAAGUAAUAACAGGGGGGUCAUUUUUAUCAGCAACAGGUGGAACCAACUUCUCUUUUAUUGGUGGCGCAGUAGGAGGAGCAGGUGGUGCCUGGCGCGUGAGUGGAUGUUCUGACUCAACCUGUUGUUUGCGACCCUGCUGCCAAGCAGGUGGAGCCAACCUCUCUUUUAUUGGUAGCGCAGUAGGAGGAGCAGGUGGUGGCUGGCGCAUUAGUGGAUGUUCUGACUCAACCUGCUGUUUGCGACCCUGCUGCCAAGCAGGUGGUGCUUGAACAGAGGAUGAAGCUGGAGGCACUGCAGGACUGCGAUUUGUCGCUGGAGUAGCAGGCUCCCGUCCGUCUAUCUUGGUUUGCACCUGUUGGGGAGCAACAAAAUCUGCAACCAGGAGACGACCUCCUUUUGGUGGCC
Molecule: long non-coding RNA, 516 nt
Filed under: Solanum tuberosum (potato)
Lineage: Eukaryota; Viridiplantae; Streptophyta; Magnoliopsida; Solanales; Solanaceae
Description: long non-coding RNA (STUB_LNC005122)
Source: RNAcentral